Macaca mulatta (Rhesus monkey) is the source of this 1924-nucleotide non-coding RNA. The record is from RefSeq and is a predicted model, not a curated record. NCBI's taxonomy places the organism in Eukaryota, Metazoa, Chordata, Mammalia, Primates, Cercopithecidae.
GCGCCGGUUGUGAAAGCGGACGAAGGCGAAGCCCCGGGGCGCCUUGGUGUGGUGCUCCCGCGGGAUAUACACGUCGCCCACGCGCCCGUACUUCUCGAACACGCGCCUCAGGCUGUCGGGAGAGGUCCGUCCCCAGUUCUCGAGGACAACGACCACGACCACGACCACGACCACGACCACGACCACAAGAACCCCAGCUUCCAGUGGAAGGGAGAAGAACCUGGGCUGAUUUCCCCAGGCCCACCUGCACCCAGGUGAAAUAAACAGCCUUGUUGCUCACACAAAGUCUGUUUGGCGGUCUCUUCACAUGAACACGUGAGACAUUUGGUGCCGAAGACCCGGGUCAGCGGGACUCCUUCGGGAGACCAGUCACCUGUCCUCACCCUCACUCUGUGAAGAGAUCCACCUAUGACCUCAGGUCCUCAGCCCAAGGAACGUCUCACCGAUUUUAAAUCAGAUCUUCUCGGCUUAGCGACUGAAGACUGAUGCUGCCUGAUGGUCUCGGAAACCCCCUAGACAGAUGCUUUGGGUAACUCUUACAGUGGAGGAUUUCUAGCCAUAUGAAGACACCCUAGCUGGACAAUCAGUUCUUGUUAAGAAUCUGAUCCCUCAAACUCUACAACCUCGAUGGACCGGACCCUACUUAGUCAUCUAUAGUACCCCAACUGCCGUCCACCUGCAGGAUCCUCCCCACUGGGUUCACCAUUCCAGGAUAAAGCUGUGUCCAUUGGACAGCCAGCCUGAUCUCUCCUCUUCCUCCUGGAAGUCGCAAGUACUUUCCCCUACUUCCCUUAAACUCACUCACAUUUCUGAAGAACAGUAAUAACCCUUAUGAGCCUAAUACAUCCCUUCAUUAUGUUAGGUCUGUUUGUCCUUACCCUACUUUUUGCAACAGGGCUUUAUGAAGUCACCCCCACUACUUGGACUGAGCCCCAAAAACUAGUUAUCCCUACUACUUCUGUCUAGUCAUACUCCUAUUCACCGUUCUCAACUACUCAUAAAUGCCCUACUCUUGUUUACACUGCCGGUUUACACUGUUUCUCCAAGCCAUCACAGCUGAUAUCUCCUGGUGCUAUCCUCAAACGGCCACUGUUAACUCCCUCUUAAAGUAAAUAAAUAAAUAAUUUUUGCUAGCAGGGCUAUGCUGAACCUCCUUGGGCACUCUCUAAUUGGAUGUCCUGGGUCCUCCCAGUUCUUAGUCCUUUAAUAACUGUUUUUCUCUUUCUCUUAUUCAGACUGUGUGUCUUCUGUUUAGUUUCUCAAUUCAUACAAAACUGCAUCCAGGCCAUCACCAAUCGUUGUAUACAACAAAUGCUCUUUCUAACAACCCCACAGUAUCGCCCCUUACCCCAAAAUCUUUCUUCAGUUUAAUCUCUCCCACUCUAGGUUCCCACGCCACCCCUAAUCCCACUCGAAGCAGCCCUGAGAAACAUUGCCCAUUAUCUCUCCAUACCACCCCCCAAAAUUUUCCCCACCCUAACACUUUACCACUAUUUUGUUUUAUUUUUCUUAUUAAUUAAGAAGACAGGAAUGUCAGGCCUCUGAGCCCAAGAUAAGCCAUCAUGUCCCCAGCAACCUGCACAUAUAUAUCCAGAUAGCCUGAAGCAACUGAAGAUCCACAAAAGAAGUGAAAAUAGCCUUAACUGAUGACAUUCCACCAUUGUGAUUUGUUUCUGCCCCACCCUAACUGAUCAAUGUACUUUGUAAUCUCCCCCACCCUUAAGAAGGUUCUUUGUAAUUCUUCCCACCCUUGAGAAUGUACUUUGUGAGAUCCUCCCUGCCCCCAAAACAUUGCUCUUAACUCCACCGCCUAUCCCAAAACCUCUAAGAACUAAUAAUAAUCCCACCACCCUUUGCUAAUUCUCUUUUUGGAUUCAGCCCGCCUACACCCAGGUGAAAUAAACAGCCUUGUUGCUCACACAAA